RNAcentral lists this long non-coding RNA (216 nucleotides) under Mytilus galloprovincialis (Mediterranean mussel). Lineage: Eukaryota; Metazoa; Mollusca; Bivalvia; Mytilida; Mytilidae. The record is from RNAcentral.
UGUCCUGCAUUUUUUUUUUAGCUGUAAUCUCUGUCCUGCCUUUUUAUUUUUCACUCUGUUCGGUCCUGCCUUUUUUUUUUUAGUUUCCUGACUUUUUUUACCUAAAUUGGUCGUCCUGACUUUUUUUUUUUUUGCAAGUGUCUCAUCCUGCCUUUUUUUUACUCAAAACUCCUGUCCUGCCUAUUUUUUUUAAAUUUCAUCCUAGCCCCCCCCCCC